UUAGCAACCGGACCUCACAGAACUAUGAUAAAACACUAGCGCUCCACCUAAGCCAGCCAGCCCUCAUCUUCCCAUCAACAGCCGUGCUCACCUGCAUUCCAGCGAUCAACGGCGCGACGAAGGACUUCAUCCGUGGGUUUGGCGGCAAGCAUCGGCUAGGCGUCAGGUAAGCGGCCGGGAGCAGGAGGGGAGAGAGGAUACGGACGUGACUGAAAAGUCAAGUUCUACUAGGAGAGAAAACUUUUGUUGACAACAUUAUCAUUAAAAACCUUGUUAAACCUGCACGCUUGGCUCCGGUGUCGUGUCUGACAGUGGGAGAGCUAGGAAGCGACUUCCACAGUCACAAUUUGCGUGGGUGUGCUGGGAAACAAAAGGACAAACCGCAGGAAAAAGAGCCGGAUGAGAA
Long non-coding RNA from Entelurus aequoreus (snake pipefish), 406 nucleotides. RefSeq lists it as uncharacterized. Lineage: Eukaryota; Metazoa; Chordata; Actinopteri; Syngnathiformes; Syngnathidae. The record is from RefSeq and is a predicted model, not a curated record. The transcript has 3 exons.